GGUAUAUCACAAUUAUGCAAACUGAGAGGAAAAAAGAGAUGCAUCGGAGACAGAACGCUUCCCUUCCUGUCAUACGCACUAGAGUGAUGCUUUGCUAGAAAAGUCUCCUUGUCGGGGCUGAGGUGAACAGAGCAGAGGGGCGCUUUGCUUUCCCUCUUCAGUGCGUUUUACCUCUUGAGGCACCGUAACUUUUAAGUCCUCCAAGUUGUGGUCGGCGCCAUCAUGACGCCAGGGACUGUGAGGUGUUGUUUCUUUUCUUUCCAAUCUCGCCGGGGCGGCCGCGCUACAGUUGACAAGCGGCCAACUAGUUCACUCUUUACCUCUUUUCGGAUAUAGAUGAUUAGUGAUUUCUCCAAAUUAUCUUGUGACCUGGGACACUAUUAUCACACUCAACUUUAAGAAGAGAUUAAAGGGACUACAUACAGUGGCCAAGUCAAGAGGAUUUAAGGCAAAACAGAUACAAUGUAUGAAAAAACAUAAUUUAAAACCCACCAGGAACAUUCACUGAGGAUUUAUGUGCCAAAUGUGAGCACAGGCUCCGGACGCACAGGCUC
Molecule: non-coding RNA, 554 nt
Organism: Delphinapterus leucas (beluga whale)
Lineage: Eukaryota; Metazoa; Chordata; Mammalia; Artiodactyla; Monodontidae
Source: RefSeq, a predicted model, not a curated record